GAGUUUGAUCCUGGCUCAGGAUGAACGCUGGCGGCGUGCCUAACACAUGCAAGUCGAACGAAGCGCCUUUUAAGAUUCUUCGGAUGAUUGAUUGGUGACUGAGUGGCGGACGGGUGAGUAACGCGUGGGUAACCUGCCCUGUACAGGGGGAUAACAGUUGGAAACGGCUGCUAAUACCGCAUAAGCGCACGAAGAGACAUCUCCUAGUGUGAAAAACUCCGGUGGUACAGGAUGGGCCCGCGUCUGAUUAGCUGGUUGGCAGGGUAACGGCCUACCAAGGCAACGAUCAGUAGCCGGUCUGAGAGGAUGAACGGCCACAUUGGGACUGAGACACGGCCCAGACUCCUACGGGAGGCAGCAGUGGGGGAUAUUGCACAAUGGGGGAAACCCUGAUGCAGCGACGCCGCGUGGAGGAAGAAGGUUUUCGGAUUGUAAACUCCUGUCGUUAGGGACGAUAAUGACGGUACCUAACAAGAAAGCACCGGCUAACUACGUGCCAGCCGCCGCGGUAAUAC
RNAcentral lists this ribosomal RNA (515 nucleotides) under uncultured bacterium. RNAcentral's name for it is "bacterial SSU rRNA". It matches the Rfam family "Bacterial small subunit ribosomal RNA", at positions 9 to 526 of the family's 1533-position model. The record is from RNAcentral.